Molecule: long non-coding RNA, 780 nt
Organism: Solea solea (common sole)
Lineage: Eukaryota; Metazoa; Chordata; Actinopteri; Pleuronectiformes; Soleidae
Exons: 6
Source: RefSeq, a predicted model, not a curated record
GUAAUGAGGCUCAAGAGCUGACGCACCUGUGCUUUUACACCUGCACUGAUGAGGUGCUUCAAGACGAGGAGGAGGCAGCGGCGGCUCUUCCACCACUAUCCCAGCAACAAGUGAAGUUGAGGCGGACAGCUCCUUGCAGAGUCAUGGCUGUUGUUUGCUAGUCCUGGAGUGUACCUGCUUGGUUUGUCAUGGACGCAUGUGGACAAAAUGAAAGAGUGAAGCGCUUAAUUGACGCUGAGAACUUGGAGGAACGCUCCGAGAAGCUCCGAGGAGGGCAACGCUGUGCUACCAUGGUUUUGAGGGUCGUGAGAGGAGCUGAAGCUAAUCCCGUUUGACAUCAGGCGAAAGGCGGCGUACGUCCUGGACAGAUCACCAGUCCAUGACAGAUGAAAUCCACCCCCUGCCCUUUCCUUGUCUCCCCUGUCUUUGUAGGACAGCGCCACCAUCCUGCAUCAAUUAUGAAUGGCUGUCGUGCCUGAAGGGGGCAGGAAGAAAGCAAGAUUUACAGCGAUGAUCUAAAAACACAAAAACAAGACUAACAAAGAGUUCCACAAUGCCGUUGUUUUAACCCUCUGUUUCCUGGAGACUCUUCAGCCCAGAGAGAGAGUGCUACAAAGACGAUAGUAGAAUGAAUGGAUUCUAUGUUUCUGGAUUUUGAAGUUAGGCCAUCUGACAGAGUGAGGACUUCCAGGAAGAUACAUUUCGCUUGCACCCUUUUUUUUUCUACACGAGCCGUUAUCCUAUAUAUAUAUAUCUAUAUCUAUAUACAUAUAUCUAUCU